UGGAAGUUACUCUGGAAAACGGGGAAGUUGGAAUCUUCGGAGGAGCUGCCAACGUGCAUUUACCUGAGUCACCUCAGCGGAGGGGAAGAGAGGGAGAGUUGCAGACACGUCCUCCUGAUUUCACAGGGCUGCAGAGCUGGCCAGAGUGGGCUGCUCCAUCUGUGUGAGGGCUGUUUAAACUUCACCGAAUGAAAGUGGAAGGAUGAAAAUUCGGAUGCCUCCAGAUUGAUCCCCAUCAUUUGGUGACACUGGGAUCCCACCCGGCUCGACCAGCAGGUGCUGAGCACGCUAUCCAGAGGUUGAUCCCUGCAACCAGACACUUCAAACCCAGCUUUUCAAAUGUGGCUGGAUCUUGCCUGGUGCAACCAUUGCUCGUGUAUCCCUGAAAAUGCUCCGUGUGUUGUGGCUUUUCUUUGGGAAGACCAAAAGGAGAGAUGGCAAAAUGACCUUUUCUGUGCCCACCUUCCAUCAGAGACUCAGGAGCUGCUGAUUCUUCUUCUGGGAAAGACCCAAUAGCUCAGUCCAAGAUGUUUAUACUGAAGAUUGUUUAACUUUGAGCAUGAAAUAUUAUUUAUUUAAUUGUCUUUUUUUUUCAUUUAUCGCUUCUCAGGUGCAAAGUUGUGGGAUCACAGGAGAUCUGGCAGCUCAACACCACCUGUUCAACCAGCAAAAGCUGGAGAGAAGGGCCCAAAAUGCUGAGAUGUGGCAGAUGUGGUGAAUGGGACCCUCCUACAAAAGACCUCCAAGUCAUUUUAAAGAUGAAACUUGGGUGCUGUUCCUGUGCUGGUUAAAAUGCUCUUCUGUAAGUGAUUUUAUGCUACAUAUAAAUAUUAUGGUUAUCAGUCUUCACAGUUAAAAUAAGGCUCUUUUCUUUGGCAGGAGGAAGGCUAUACAUGCAAAUUCACAGUCCUGAUGCAUUUCCACUGACUCUGCCCUUCUGUUCUGGCAGAAUUGGGAAAAACUCUAUUUUUUUGUGUCUUCUCUCAUCUGUUUCUUUAUGCUUCGUGUGUUCUUCGAUUCUCACUUCAUUCCUGCUUUCAUUAUCUUUCCCAUUCUUUCUUGUGGUUACAUUUGUGGCUGCAUUUUUGUCUUUUAUUUGUUCCCUUUGCCUUGAACUUUCUCCCAAAUCCUUCAGUUUUCCUCUUUCUACCCAGACCUGAAUACACACAUUGAAUUUUUCUCUCUUCCCAUUCCCACUUGUUUUCCUCUUUAUUCCAGUAUUUAUCUUUUCCCCUUUCCCCCACUAAUGUUACCAUUUUCCCUCAGCACUUGUUGAUAUUUUUGUUCCCCCUGAACUUUCCUGUCCUUUUCCUGGUAUUUUCUACCAGGAGAGACCCAACAGGGAUUUGACCCUCCAGGCUUUUUCUUAAUGGCUCAAAACUGGGCCAAAAUCCCUUAAAAAUAAAUGUCCUGAGUGACCUGUGGCAUGAGUGGGACUGGGAGAAAACAAACAACAAAAAAAUUCCUGUUUAGCAAAUUUAACUUCUCCUAAAAAUUCCGGCUCCAUCCUUCCAGCUGGAAAGCAGAGAUUAUAAUGGGUUGUUACAAGCUGUUAAAAUUUGAGAGGGGGAAUAGACUGAAAUUCUUCCACGGGUUGUUCUGUUCUUUGUGGGAGGCUGUUAAAAUAAAGCCACAGUAUAAAAGAUGAAUUAUAUACAACUUAAUGUAAAGCUGUUUGGAGCCAUUAUGAUAUUUCUUCCUUGAUUGUCGAGCAUUUGUGCACUUUUUCAAAGUUUCGCGUUUUUUGGGGGCUCUUUCGGAGCAUUAUGAAAAUUGUACUGAGAGGAGUAAAUUCAUCUGCAUAAAAUUGACUGCAAAGAGCAAUUAGUCCUUCAUUAAUAUGCAAAUUCGGUCCAGUGCAGAUUCAUCUAUAUAUGAGGCUUAAAUAUGCAAGUCAGUCUUGCUGUGCAGGAGCCCAGAUGCUUUUAUUUACUUUGAAAUUGAGGGAUUUGGUUAAUGAUGUUGUUGACAGGAAAACUUGAAUAAAUUUGAUGAUCACCAUCUUUCAUAUUAGACGAGGCCCGUGGAAAAAAAAUUACCAAGUAAAAUACCAAUUUUAUCUGGUAAUUUCCUAUUACCAAUCUGGUAAUAAAAUGCAGGAUCCGAGGUAAUGGAGGGAGAUUUCCUAAUGUUGUUAUCCCGAGACUUCGACUGCUCCCCAAAGAUGGAGCCAUUUUCCUUAAACUUUGUUUUUCCAGAGGGUAAAGACAUCUCCAUAAGCUGUGUGAAUAACGUGCUGCCUGGAGAUUUAAUAUUGGAAAGUUGGCUCUGUGGCUUGUUUCACUUGGGGAGGCUCUGGAAACCUGGGAAUGGAAAAGCAGGAGCUUUGGAAAUGGCUCUGCAGCGUCUUCCGUGAAUUAUCCGUGGAGUUUUCUCCAGGGCCGGUGUGAGGCCUUUGCUCUCAUCCUCUGGAAGUGUCUGAACACGUGGCCAGUUAUCUGUGGAUGCCCUAAGCUGGUUGAUAAACAUUUCCCUGCAUGCCUUUAAAUCUUUACAGCCCUCAGAAGUGGAAGUUUUUUUGCCUGUGAUCUCUCACCAUGGACCAGCUCAGAGAACAGGGAAUUUCCUCCCCGUUAUAUGGGAUGUUCCUCAUCCCUUUCCUCCUCUCCUGGCUCCUGCCCAGGGUGCUGGGGCUCCUCUGGCACAUCCAGGAUUCCCCUGCUUUUGUCCAGCACUGCCCCAGCUCCAUCACUGCCUCAGGCCUAAAUUGACCUUUGGCUUAAACAACCUGGCCUUUGACUUCAAUCAUGCCCACAUUUUCCUGGACUAAAUUUGGUCUUCAGUCUUGCCUGUGUGGGGCACUGACACUUCCAAACCAACAGAGAAAUGGAGUUUAAAUGGACUGAACUCUCCAGCGAUUUAUAAAGCUCCAGUUGGAACUACCCAAGGACAAGUUAAUAGAUUAGACCAUUUGAUUCCUCUGACUUCUUGGCACAGCUGGUUGGGAUAUAAAUCCUCCCAGCAGUGAACACUUAGUUUUCAAAUCCUUAAUGUGCUGGAGGAGGCAAACAGUUUACACAGCCAUGGGAAGGGAAGGAAAACUCGAUGGCACACUAGAAUUGAUGUGCCUGUUCACGUGGUCCUGGGGUGGUCCUGCAGGUGAAUCCACGAGCAGGGAAUUAGAGGUGGGAUUGAGGAUUUGGGGGGAGCAGGAGGGGCACCUGUGAGUCUUGUAAAGGAAUGUGCCCUUUUUGCCCUCAGAAGGAGGCACUGAGAGCUGUCAGAAGGCAGUUUGUUUGCAGCGCUUGAUGAGGUGACAAACUGAUGAAAAGGUGGAACUUUGGAAACACAACAUCUGCUCAGACUUCAACAGUCUUUGCCUUGGAGAACACAGAGUUGUUGGACAGUUGGUCAUGUUUUCCAGUGCCAGCCCCAGCAAUCUUGGCUUUCUGAUCCAGCUCCCAAAAGGCAGAAAAUAUUAAUUUUAAAAUCUAUAAACAGGCAUCUCAGCACAACCUGAGGUUGUCUCCUAUCAACUAUGUAAUCUUUGUAUUCUAGAUUAAUAAACACUUCAGCCUUGGAGUUUGUUAGUCCAAAAUAUAUUUAUUACCUCAUGAAUUCCAACCCCCUCCAGUUACCAUCUCAUUAAAGUGCAGUUGUGUGCCUGCAAUCUUUGGGGAUGUAUUAAUAAUGGAAUUAUCUCCUGGAACAGUAAUUACACACUCUGUGCAUCCUUUGCCACUCUCCUUGCAGUGUCUGUGGGAUGAGGGGGGCACAUUUUGAGCUCCUCCAAACUCUCUGGGUGUCCAAAGGAUAAGCAGGGUUGGUUUUCCCCCCUCUUAGGAAAAAGAGGGAGAAAAAUUCAUUCAUUUUUGUACUUGGGAAGGGGGAAGCGGCGAUGCCACUGGAGGAAGGGUUGUGAAACGUGGUUGUGCAAGUGAUUUCAGCUGCUGCUCUCUCCUCACUCUUUGAGGAGGUUGCUCACAGAGCAAAACCUCCCUGCAGGAUCUCUUUUGUAAAUCUGCCAAAAGGUGAAGACAACCACUUGAUCUGCAAGGGAAUAUUCAUUUGUGGGGCUUUGAAAAAAAAAAAAGGAAAAUAAUCUUAAACCUUUCCUCAGGAGAGAGAUUUACUUCCAGCUUUAUUCAGUGCUCAGUGUACCUGUUAUACUCUCAUUUCUGUGUGUGUUGGCUGUACCUGUGUCCUGCUUUAUCAAGGUUGUCCUCCCAGCUGCUACACUGGAUUGUUUAUGGGCACGAUUUCUUUUCCUCGUUUUUUUUUCCCCCCUUUUACUGCAGACUGAGGUGUUCUGAUCCUGCCUGGAGAGCCCUUCCCUGCGUGGAAAGAGGCCCAGGAUUUCCACAUUCCUUGCCUGGGUUUUGGAAUCUCUUCUCUCUAGUCCAAGUCCAUGUGUUGAGCAAGAGUGUGAGGGGUGAUGGCUGUUGACACAGGCUGUAACCUGAAGGUUUUUCUCUUUGGACUUCCAGGUGCUGUAUUCCACAGGUUUGUGUUUUCAGGAUCCAUCUGCUGGUGGAAUCCAUCCUGCUCUGUGGCUGCUGGGGUGUCCUGCCUUUGGGAUAACCUUUUUCACUGCAGUGAAAGGUUAGGGUUAGUUAGGGUUAGGGUAAGGAUUAGGGUUAAGGUUUUGGUUGGGUUAGGGUUAGAUUUAUGGUUAGGUUUAGGGUAAGGGUUAGGUUUGGAUUAGGGUUAGAGUUAUCUCAGUAAAAGUGGUGUCUGAUACCACCUGGGACACCACAGAGUGGAACAUUCCCAUUGUGUUAAAUAGAAAACAUCUGCAAAAGAUAAUGAGAUUCAUGACAUAUUGUUCAAACACCCAUUAUUAUUAUUAUUACUACUAUUAAUAUUAUUAUUAUGGCUUACUUGUUCAUCAAAACUUCUUGAUUUCAGAAGUUUCCCCAGCCCACCGAGGUGUCUGUGUGUGCCCAGAACAUCCCAGGCUGUGUCCUGCCUGUGCUGUCACACUCUUUUGUUUGUCACUGGGGUCUGAUUUGCCAACUUUCAAACCAGACACCUCUCUGAUGUGUUCUUCCUGAUGUGAAUGAAUUCACCACAGAAUACUCACAGAGGAAGAGAUGUUUGUUGUCAAGCAAUUAUUUCAGAUGAAACACAGGGAAGGGUGAUAUUACAGUCUGAGUUUUAUUUAGCCACAGGCAUGAAUCCGGAGAUGAAUUCUGGGAAUUUAGGGGAGGAAAAGCACAGCUUUUUCUUUUCUUAUUUUUUUUUCCUAUCCUGUCCUCUGUAUUUUGCAGGGCUUGCUUUGAGCCUGUGAGUUCUCAGCUCAUGAAGAACUCUCUGGCUGAAGGGAUGAGCACAUUAAAGCCUUUGCCCACUCGGAGCAAUUGCUCUGGAGACAAACCCAGCUCGGAAAACAAACCCUCUGAGCCACCUGUAAAUUCUGGCUCGCUGAACACAUGAAGAGCCAGAGAUACUUCUGAACCUGCAAGUGAAAUUUAUCCUGCAGGUGAUGGCUGAGCUCAUUAUCUGCUCCCCUCUGUAAAUGAGAAGUAAGGAGUGCAGUGCCCGAGUAUUCCGUGUGUAACAGCUGACGUGUUUGUGCAUCCCUGUGUUUGCCUAAGAAAUCGUGGAGAAUCAAUCUGAUGUGCAAAACACCCUGCAGGGGGGAGUUCUGAUCCACAGCACCUGCCAUGCCUGGGCUGUUCUGAGAGGCAGAAACUUCCAGGGAAGCAGCAGCCCUGGAAAUCUUCCUGAUUGUUCUCUCAGCAGGUUUUUUUUUCCCCCAAGGACACGUCUGGAGGUGGAUUCCAUAGUCAGGGUUGGGGUUUUUUCUACCCCUCGAGUGAGAGGUGCUGUGUGUGUCAGUUAUUUUCUCACUGGUUUUCUUGCUGUGUUAGAAAUCAGGGUUACUUCAUCAGGAUAUAUAGUUUUAAUAUAUGUAUUAUAUAUAUAUAUAUAUUUAAUGAUUAUAAUCCCAACUAGGAAAGCUAACCUGAAACAUUUACUUUUUCAGAUUUUUUUUAUUAUUAUUAUUUAAAUAUAUGUUUAAAAUAAUUAAAAAAAUAAUUCCCUACAUGUAUUACAAAUAACUUCCCAUGUUUUUACUGCUGGGAAGCAGAACAGGCAGGAACCAGCAGCACACAGGUGUGAUUGUAACAGGAAUUCUUGUUUAAUAAGUAAUAGAUUGGUUGUAAUGAGACUUAUGCUGUUCAUAAACUCUUAGAAUGUUUUUAACACCACCAAAGUAAGUAAGUUUAAAGUCUGAUUUAUUGAUCUUAACCCUCUCAGAUCACUUCUUGCCUUGCUUAUUUUCCAGGACAAACCCCAACAUCUGAGGGAAUUUCCCACAAAAUAGAAUAUUUACGGUCCUAGCAAAUUAAACAAAAAAUGGAAAUUUGCAUGGAUAAAAAGGAUGAGUGACAAUCCUCAGGGUGUGGGAAAACUGAGGUUAGAUUUAAUCCUAUAUUUACCAAUUCCUUUCUUGGAAACCCCUAUUUUUUCCAGGACCUCCACCUUCCAUCCCAAUAUUCCACCUCCUCGGUGUAUCCCUCCUCUGGAAAGAAACAGCUGGCUAUUCUGUGUCACGUUGUGCCCCCUCCACCUCUGUUGUUGUCAUUUUUAAUUGCUGGGGCUGUUGUUUUUUUGGGUUUUUUUUUUAAAGUCCCCUACAGAAGGUCUUUGUAGUGACAAGCGAAGGGUUCACGCUUGGUAAGCAAACAUAAAGAAUUCUGCUGCUAAUUGGAGGGGGAGCCAUGCAGUUAUGAUUCCAUCAACAUUUAAGUUACAUUGUUAAAGGACACGGGUUUUUUGUUGUUGUUGUUGUUGUUGUGUUUAUGUUGCCACAUGAAAUUUUCCUCGGGGUGAGUUUG
This is a long non-coding RNA of Myiozetetes cayanensis, 6785 nucleotides long. RefSeq lists it as uncharacterized. The transcript is spliced from 5 exons. The record is from RefSeq and is a predicted model, not a curated record. Lineage: Eukaryota; Metazoa; Chordata; Aves; Passeriformes; Tyrannidae.